GAUGAAGAACGCAGCGAAAUGCGAUAAGUAAUGUGAAUUGCAGAAUUCAGUGAAUUAUCGAAUCUUUGAACGCACAUUGCGCCCCUUGGUAUUCCGAGGGGCAUGCCUGUUCGAGCGUCAUUAUAACCCCUCAAGCUCAGCUUGGUGUUGGGGCCUGCUGCACUGGCAGCCCUUAAAAUCAGUGGCGGCGCCAUCUGGCUCUAAGCGUAGUAAUUCUUCUCGCUAUGGAGUCCUGGUGGAUGCUUGCCAUCAACCCCCAAUUUUUCUAUGGUUGACCUCGGAUCAGGUAGGGAUACCCGCUGAACUUAAGCAUAUCAAUAAGCGGAGGA
Molecule: unclassified non-coding RNA, 329 nt
Filed under: soil metagenome
Description: partial contains 5.8S ribosomal RNA, internal transcribed spacer 2, and large subunit ribosomal RNA
Rfam family: 5.8S ribosomal RNA (bases 1-120)
Source: RNAcentral